UACGUAGGGUGCAAGCGUUGUCCGGAAUUAUUGGGCGUAAAGAGCUCGUAGGCGGUUUGUCGCGUCGGCUGUGAAAACCUGGGGCUCAACCCCGGGCCUGCAGCCGAUACGGGCAGACUAGAAUUCGGUAGGGGAGUCCGGAAUUCCUGGUGUAGCGGUGAAAUGCGCAGAUAUCGAGAGGAACACCAGUGGCGAAGGCGAGUCCCUGGACAAAACCUGACACUGAGGCACGAAAGCUAGGGGAGCAAACAGG
Molecule: ribosomal RNA, 253 nt
Filed under: uncultured bacterium
Lineage: Bacteria
Description: partial 16S ribosomal RNA
Rfam family: Bacterial small subunit ribosomal RNA
Source: RNAcentral